This is a long non-coding RNA of Brassica rapa (field mustard), 2279 nucleotides long. RefSeq lists it as uncharacterized. The record is from RefSeq and is a predicted model, not a curated record. Lineage: Eukaryota; Viridiplantae; Streptophyta; Magnoliopsida; Brassicales; Brassicaceae.
UGUUUCUUAAUAGAUAAGGGCUCGAUUUUCUAAAAAACAUAUGUAUUUUUAUAUUAAAAGUAAGAAAAGAGGUCCAAAUUUUUUUUAUAUGAAAGUAUUUUUAUAAAUACUUCUAAUAUUUGAAAAAAUAUAUCUAUCAGAUUUUUUUUUUAAAAUAAUAGUUUAGAAAUUAAAAUUCUUUUUACCCCAAGGUCCGUGAAACCAUUGAGCCGGAGACACCACCUUACUCGAUGUUAGUCCUCAUAUUUCCUAAUUAAUAUAAAUCUCUCCCCAUACAUGCCAAUCAGAACAAUCACCUACUACAAAACCGCUCUGCUCUGCGCAUUCAUAAAUACAAUCAGAAUUAUUCCCAACGAGAAUUGUAGUUGAAAAGAAGAAAAAUAUGUAAAAUCAAAGUUCAGUAUUAUCACCGAAGAAAAUGUUUUAUAUAAGAUUAAUAACUUCCCAGCACCAGAUGUUCGUGAUUUUUCAAUCCAGAUCGCUCACCGGCACCAAUUUGAUAAAACUCACGUAUAUUUCUAUCAAGAACAGAGGAUUACAAGGAAAGCUAUCUUGAAUCUCCUAAGAGAAACAAGCCUAAGCCACAAGGCUCCAAUUAACCAACUAGCUUUUCAAACUAAAUCUCUUGACUGUAACUGCUUUCCCUUCUCUUUAUUUUGCAGUUUAGCAGGUACAAGCUCCUUCCUUCUCACGUGACUGUCUCCAGUUUAUAUGAUGAUCAUAUCAGCAGAUUGGACCUCGUGAUAUUGAUAUUUAAAACACAGUUUUGAAGCAUCUACAAAAAUAGUGGUUCUUGGUGUUUCAAGAUAAAUCUCGUGACCUUUGAUAUUUUGUAAGAAAUUUUUAAUCUCGGUAAGGCUUGAUAAUAAGUGUUCAUUUACUAACACAUGAUAUAUUAGUAAAUGAGGGUGUAACACGUGUUUGGUGGUCUUUGUUUGAUGCUCUAGGAUUCAUCUCUAAGUCUUGCUUAAUUUGUUCAUUCUUAUUUUGAUAUAUGAGUGAGUGAGUGAGUGACUAGUGUCAGUGUAAACAGUAAAUGCAUCACGUGUUUGGUGGUCUUUGAGUAUACCAUAAUUGAAUCAUGUUGUGUUGUGAACUUUUGAUUUAAUUGAGUCCAUCAUAUGUUUGAAUUAGUAGCCUGUUCUUGUUUUUGCUCGUUAGGAUUUCAGAUGUUGCUCGUGGAACUGUGCUGUGUUGAUUUCAGGAAGGAUUUGUAAAAUUUUAGGAAAACAUUCCAAAGACUUUGGAAAGAUCAUGAUUUGAACAAAAAGUUUGGAUUUACUCAUUAUUUCCUUUCACAUAUUGCUCCUGAAACUGUGUGGUUUUGUUGAUUUCAAGAAGAAUUUAUAAAGUAUUAGGAAAGUAUUCCAGAAUAUCCUAUAUUAACAAAAUUUGUGAUUCCUACGGAGGUUCAACAGUCUACACCUACCUUUUUGUGUGAGAAAUACACUGAUACUAACGGUUCCAUCCAGAUGUUCUAAUGUUGAAUCUAAAGAAAAUCUGAAUGUCACAUGCAUUUUACCUUCUAUUACUCUCCAUGAUCCAGAAGACGAUGAUUCCACAGAAGACAAACUUGAUGAAAAUCUGGAUAAAAUGACAGUUUUAUCCAAGAAAUAAUAUUGAUUUAAAGUUGAAGACUGGAGAAAUAUGUUAGUAGACCCAUAUGAUGCUUAUGAAAAAAUAGGAGAUAGAUCUUUCUUGUUUGGAAAUGUGGAGAUGAGUCAAGCAUCUUCUUUACUUGAGGAGUCUGUAAUUACAAAGCUUAACAGACUCAUCAAGGUAGUGGAGAAAAAAUUCAAGAACAUAAAGGAUCAAAUGUCUUUGUUAGAAGAAGAGAACAAUGUAGCUUAAAGCUUGUCUGUUAGAGUUAAAGGGAAAAUAGAAUGUUGCUUCAGGUAAAAUGUUAUAUUAAGUUUUCACCGAAUAAUUAUUCCGCGUUUUCAAAACGCGGGUCAAAAUCUAGUUUUCUUUUAAAUCAAUACCUUUUAGCCUCACAACCAUAUAAUGUUUGAUUCAUCUUCCAAACAAAGUUCUCAUAUAGUGAUCAACCAAGCAAUUGGCAGAAGUAUUUGCCUUCUCUUGUCGUUGCUGGCACAGCCACUAGCGUAUGGUGUUUGUGUACGCCAAUAGCUCUUCGGCCACUGAUGAUAGUACAAAGAUUGGAACCUAAAUAAAGCCAUAAUAGAGCGAUUUUAGUCUAUUUUGAGUUAAGAAUAGUGUCAAAUAAGAACCAUUUUUGAAAAGAAAGAAAAGUAAUUGAAAACCACAAAGGUUCAAAA